Molecule: ribosomal RNA, 1657 nt
Filed under: Shigella flexneri
Lineage: Bacteria; Pseudomonadati; Pseudomonadota; Gammaproteobacteria; Enterobacterales; Enterobacteriaceae
Also listed under: 1 other name
Description: partial 23S ribosomal RNA
Rfam family: Bacterial large subunit ribosomal RNA
Source: RNAcentral
GUAUCAGAAGUGCGAAUGCUGACAUAAGUAACGAUAAAGCGGGUGAAAAGCCCGCUCGCCGGAAGACCAAGGGUUCCUGUCCAACGUUAAUCGGGGCAGGGUGAGUCGACCCCUAAGGCGAGGCCGAAAGGCGUAGUCGAUGGGAAACAGGUUAAUAUUCCUGUACUUGGUGUUACUGCGAAGGGGGGACGGAGAAGGCUAUGUUGGCCGGGCGACGGUUGUCCCGGUUUAAGCGUGUAGGCUGGUUUUCCAGGCAAAUCCGGAAAAUCAAGGCUGAGGCGUGAUGACGAGGCACUACGGUGCUGAAGCAACAAAUGCCCUGCUUCCAGGAAAAGCCUCUAAGCAUCAGGUAACAUCAAAUCGUACCCCAAACCGACACAGGUGGUCAGGUAGAGAAUACCAAGGCGCUUGAGAGAACUCGGGUGAAGGAACUAGGCAAAAUGGUGCCGUAACUUCGGGAGAAGGCACGCUGAUAUGUAGGUGAAGUCCCUUGCGGAUGGAGCUGAAAUCAGUCGAAGAUACCAGCUGGCUGCAACUGUUUAUUAAAAACACAGCACUGUGCAAACACGAAAGUGGACGUAUACGGUGUGACGCCUGCCCGGUGCCGGAAGGUUAAUUGAUGGGGUCAGCGCAAGCGAAGCUCUUGAUCGAAGCCCCGGUAAACGGCGGCCGUAACUAUAACGGUCCUAAGGUAGCGAAAUUCCUUGUCGGGUAAGUUCCGACCUGCACGAAUGGCGUAAUGAUGGCCAGGCUGUCUCCACCCGAGACUCAGUGAAAUUGAACUCGCUGUGAAGAUGCAGUGUACCCGCGGCAAGACGGAAAGACCCCGUGAACCUUUACUAUAGCUUGACACUGAACAUUGAGCCUUGAUGUGUAGGAUAGGUGGGAGGCUUUGAAGUGUGGACGCCAGUCUGCAUGGAGCCGGCCUUGAAAUACCACCCUUUAAUGUUUGAUGUUCUAACGUGGACCCGUGAUCCGGGUUGCGGACAGUGUCUGGUGGGUAGUUUGACUGGGGCGGUCUCCUCCUAAAGAGUAACGGAGGAGCACGAAGGUUGGCUAAUCCUGGUCGGACAUCAGGAGGUUAGUGCAAUGGCAUAAGCCAGCUUGACUGCGAGCGUGACGGCGCGAGCAGGUGCGAAAGCAGGUCAUAGUGAUCCGGUGGUUCUGAAUGGAAGGGCCAUCGCUCAACGGAUAAAAGGUACUCCGGGGAUAACAGGCUGAUACCGCCCAAGAGUUCAUAUCGACGGCGGUGUUUGGCACCUCGAUGUCGGCUCAUCACAUCCUGGGGCUGAAGUAGGUCCCAAGGGUAUGGCUGUUCGCCAUUUAAAGUGGUACGCGAGCUGGGUUUAGAACGUCGUGAGACAGUUCGGUCCCUAUCUGCCGUGGGCGCUGGAGAACUGAGGGGGGCUGCUCCUAGUACGAGAGGACCGGAGUGGACGCAUCACUGGUGUUCGGGUUGUCAUGCCAAUGGCACUGCCCGGUAGCUAAAUGCGGAAGAGAUAAGUGCUGAAAGCAUCUAAGCACGAAACUUGCCCCGAGAUGAGUUCUCCCUGACCCUUUAAGGGUCCUGAAGGAACGUUGAAGACGACGACGUUGAUAGGCCGGGUGUGUAAGCGCAGCGAUGCGUUGAGCUAACCGGUACUAAUGAACCGUGAGG